Non-coding RNA from Podarcis lilfordi (Lilford's wall lizard), 75 nucleotides. The record is from the annotation of a GenBank genome assembly. NCBI's taxonomy places the organism in Eukaryota, Metazoa, Chordata, Lepidosauria, Squamata, Lacertidae.
GCAUACAUAUAGCUCAGCUGGUAGAGCAUGAGACUUGUAAUCUCAGAGCUGUGGGUUCGAGCCCCAUAUUGGGCA